Molecule: ribosomal RNA, 725 nt
Filed under: uncultured bacterium
Lineage: Bacteria
Description: bacterial SSU rRNA
Rfam family: Bacterial small subunit ribosomal RNA
Source: RNAcentral
AACAGGAUUAGAUACCCUGGUAGUCCACGCCCUAAACGAUGUCUACUAGUUGUCGGGUUUUAAUUAACUUGGUAACGCAGCUAACGCGUGAAGUAGACCGCCUGGGGAGUACGGUCGCAAGAUUAAAACUCAAAGGAAUUGACGGGGACCCGCACAAGCGGUGGAUGAUGUGGAUUAAUUCGAUGCAACGCGAAAAACCUUACCUACCCUUGACAUGGCAGAAAUCCUCGAGAGAUUGAGGAGUGCUCGAAAGAGAAUCUGCACACAGGUGCUGCAUGGCUGUCGUCAGCUCGUGUCGUGAGAUGUUGGGUUAAGUCCCGCAACGAGCGCAACCCUUGUCAUUAGUUGCUACGAAAGAGCACUCUAAUGAGACUGCCGGUGACAAACCGGAGGAAGGUGGGGAUGACGUCAAGUCCUCAUGGCCCUUAUGGGUAGGGCUUCACACGUCAUACAAUGGUACAUACAGAGGGCCGCCAACCCGCGAGGGGGAGCUAAUCCCAGAAAGUGUAUCGUAGUCCGGAUUGUAGUCUGCAACUCGACUGCAUGAAGUUGGAAUCGCUAGUAAUCGCGGAUCAGCAUGUCGCGGUGAAUACGUUCCCGGGUCUUGUACACACCGCCCGUCACACCAUGGGAGCGGGUUUUACCAGAAGUAGGUAGCUUAACCGUAAGGAGGGCGCUUACCACGGUAGGAUUCGUGACUGGGGUGAAGUCGUAACAAGGUAACC